RNAcentral lists this ribosomal RNA (536 nucleotides) under Mayamaea permitis. RNAcentral's name for it is "eukaryotic LSU rRNA". It matches the Rfam family "Eukaryotic large subunit ribosomal RNA", at positions 43 to 651 of the family's 3401-position model. Lineage: Eukaryota; Bacillariophyta; Bacillariophyceae; Sellaphorales; Sellaphoraceae. The record is from RNAcentral.
UAAUUAAGCGGAGGAAAAGAAACUAACCAGGAUUCCGUCAGUAAGGGCGACUGAAGCCGGACUAGCUCACCAUGUGAAUCUGCGCCUCGUGCGCCGAAUUGUGGUCUGGAGACUCUUACAUUAGUGGCCGGGCCAAGUCCCUUGGAACAGGGCAGCUGAGAGGGUGAGACUCCCGUCCGCCUGGCCUUUGGAGUGAGUGUCGACGAGUCGAGUUGUUUGGGAUUGCAGCUCUAAGUGGGUGGUAAAUUCCAUCUAAAGCUAAAUAUUGGUGGGAGACCGAUAGCGAACAAGUACCGUGAGGGAAAGAUGCAAAGAACUUUGAAAAGAGAGUUAAAGAGUACCUGAAAUCGCUGAAACGGAAGCGAAGGAAACCAGUGCCAGCUGCGUCAUAUUUCCCAUUCCGCUUGCGGGGUGGGCGCUGUGGCCAGCGUUGUCAGGCUUGGUUUGGGUGGUCAGAAUCGCGCCGAGAGAGUUGAUCUCGGCAUGUCUGUGACUGUCUGGGACUGAGGCUGGGCGAAAUGGUUUUCUUUACCCCG